This 497-nucleotide ribosomal RNA is filed under the name uncultured bacterium. Its description in RNAcentral is "partial 16S ribosomal RNA". It matches the Rfam family "Bacterial small subunit ribosomal RNA", at positions 28 to 507 of the family's 1533-position model. The record is from RNAcentral.
GAUGAACGCUGGCGGCGUGCCUAAUACAUGCAAGUCGAGCGAACGGACGAGAAGCUUGCUUCUCUGAUGUUAGCGGCGGACGGGUGAGUAACACGUGGAUAACCUACCUAUAAGACUGGGAUAACUUCGGGAAACCGGAGCUAAUACCGGAUAAUAUUUUGAACCGCAUGGUUCAAAAGUGAAAGGCGGUCUUGCUGUCACUUAUAGAUGGAUCCGCGCUGCAUUAGCUAGUUGGUAAGGUAACGGCUUACCAAGGCAACGAUGCAUAGCCGACCUGAGAGGGUGAUCGGCCACACUGGAACUGAGACACGGUCCAGACUCCUACGGGAGGCAGCAGUAGGGAAUCUUCCGCAAUGGGCGAAAGCCUGACGGAGCAACGCCGCGUGAGUGAUGAAGGUCUUCGGAUCGUAAAACUCUGUUAUUAGGGAAGAACAUAUGUGUAAGUAACUGUGCACAUCCUGACGGUACCUAAUCAGAAAGCCACGGCUAACUACGUG